UAAUAGGAUGCGGGGGAGUCAAAUCCUACCAAAUUCUGAUAAACUCCGAAUGCGGCAUAAUAUGAACGGCAGUGAGGGCUUGGGUGCUAAGGUCCAAGUCCAAAAGGGAAAGAACCCAGAACUACAGCUAAGGUCUCUAAAUUUACACUAAGUUGAACUAAGGAAGUCUGACUGCAGUGACAGCCAGGAUGUUUGCUUGGAAGCAGCAAUCAUUUAAAGAGUGCGUAACAGCUCACUGGUCGAGCGGGGCGGGCAUCGAUAAUAAACGGGCAUCAAGUGUAGUACCGAAGCUUAGUCAAGGCGUAAGUCUUGGGUAGGAGAGCAUUCUAUUCGCGGUGAAUGUGUACUGUGAGGUAUGCUGGAGCGUAUAGAAAAGCAAAUGUAGGGAUAAGUAGCGAUAAUGUAUGUGAGAACCAUACACACCGAAAGACUCAGGAUUCCUCAGCUACGUCAAUCAACUGAGGGUUAGUCGGGACCUAAGGAUAAGGCGAAGGCCGAAGCCGAUGGCAAAUGGGUUAAUAUUCCCAUACUGGUGAUAGUGCGAUGCGGGGACGGAGUGAAGAGUUUUGUACGUCCUGACGGAAUAGGGCGUUGAGAGGAGGCUUAGGCUGAAUCGAACGAGAUGAAUUGCUUCCAAGAAAAGCCGCUAAGCUUCAGCUAUUUACCACCCGUACCGUAAACCGACACAGGUAGUCGAGGCGAGAAGCCUAAGGUGCUCGAGUGAAUCACAGCUAAGGAACUCGGCAUAUUAACCCUGUAACUUCGGGAGAAGGGGAGCCUACAGCAAUGUAGGCCGCAGAGAAAUGGCCCAGGCGACUGUUUAACAAAAACACAUGGCUUUGCGAAGUUUAAUGACGACGUAUAUGGCCUGACACCUGCCCGGUGCUGGAAGGUUAAGAGGGGAUGUCAUCGCAAGAGAAGCAUUGAAUUGAAGCCCCAGUAAACGGCGGCCGUAACAAUAACGGUCCUAAGGUAGCGAAAUUCCUUGUCGGGUAAGUUCCGACCUGCACGAAUGGUGUAACGAUUUGGGCACUGUCUCAACCAUGAGCUCGGUGAAAUUGUAGUAACGGUGAAGAUGCCGUUUACCCGCCACGGGACGGAAAGACCCCGUGAACCUUUACUAUAGCUUAACGUUGAAUUCGGGUAACUGAUGUGUAGGAUAGGUGGGAGGCUGUGAGCCGGUGUCGCUAGGCAUCGUGGAGCCAACGUUGAAAUACCACCCUUUGGUUAUUUGGAUUCUAACUUGCCUAAGGCGAGGACACCGUUUGGUUGGUAGUUUGACUGGGGUGGUCGCCUCCAAAAGUGUAUCGGAGGCUUCUAAAGGUGACCUCAGCACGCUUGGUAACCGUGCGUUGAGUGCAAUAGCAUAAGGUCGCUUGACAGUGAGACCUACAAGUCGAGCUGGAUGGAAACAUGGGUAUAGUGAUCCGGCGGUUCUGUAUGGAAGGGCCGUCGCUCAAAGGAUAAAAGGUACGCCGGGGAUAACAGGCUGAUCUCCCCCAAGAGCUCACAUCGACGGGGGGGUUUGGCACCUCGAUGUCGGCUCGUCUCAUCCUGGGGCUGUAGCCGGUCCCAAGGGUAUGGCUGUUCGCCAUUUAAAGAGGUACGUGAGCUGGGUUCAGAACGUCGUGAGACAGUUUGGUCCCUAUCUGCCGUGGGCGAAGGAUACUUGAGAGGAGCUGACCAUAGUACGAGAGGACCUGGUUGGACGUACCUCUGGUGAUUCAGUUGUCACGCCAGUGGCAUAGCUGAGUAGCCAUGUACGGAACGGAUAACCGCUGAAAGCAUCUAAGCGGGAAGCCGGCCAAGAGAUGAGUCAUCCCUUGUACCUUGAGUACACAUAAGGGUUGUUGGAGACCACAACGUUGAUAGGUGAGGUGUGGAAGCGUAGUGAUACGUUAAGCUAACUCAUACUAAUUGCCCGAGAGGCUUAACC
RNAcentral lists this ribosomal RNA (1936 nucleotides) under Daphnia magna. Its description in RNAcentral is "bacterial LSU rRNA". It matches the Rfam family "Bacterial large subunit ribosomal RNA", at positions 911 to 2925 of the family's 2925-position model. Lineage: Eukaryota; Metazoa; Arthropoda; Branchiopoda; Diplostraca; Daphniidae. The record is from RNAcentral.